Molecule: ribosomal RNA, 253 nt
Filed under: uncultured bacterium
Lineage: Bacteria
Description: partial 16S ribosomal RNA
Rfam family: Bacterial small subunit ribosomal RNA
Source: RNAcentral
UACGAGGGGAGCUAGCGUUGUUCGGAAUUACUGGGCGUAAAGCGCGCGUAGGCGGUCUUUUAAGUCAGAGGUGAAAGCCUGGUGCUCAACACCAGAACUGCCUUUGAAACUGGAAAACUUGAAUCAUGGAGAGGUCAGUGGAAUUCCGAGUGUAGAGGUGAAAUUCGUAGAUAUUCGGAAGAACACCAGUGGCGAAGGCGACUGACUGGACAUGUAUUGACGCUGAGGUGCGAAAGCGUGGGGAGCAAACAGG